GAUGAACGCUAGCGGCAGGCCUAAUACAUGCAAGCCGAACGGCAAGUUUGAUAGCAAUAUUGGACCUAGAGUGGCGCAAGGGUGCGUAACACGUAUGCAACCUGCCCGCGACAGGAGGAUAGCUCCCCGAAAGGGGAAUUAACCCUCCAUAACACCAUGAGAAGGCAUCUGAUUAUGGUUAAACCGCACGGGGUCGCGGAUGGGCAUGCGGUUGAUUAGCUAGUUGGCGGGGUAAAGGCCCACCAAGGCGGUGAUCAAUAGGGGUUCUGAGAGGAAGGUCCCCCACACUGGCACUGAGAUACGGGCCAGACUCCUACGGGAGGCAGCAGUAGGGAAUAUUAGACAAUGGUUGCAAGACUGAUCCAGCCAUGCCGCGUGCAGGAAGAAGGCCUUCUGGGUCGUAAACUGCUUUUUCCUGUGGAUAAAAUACCCGGGCGCGGGGAAUUGAAGGUAACAGGGGAAUAAGCCACGGCUAACUACGUG
RNAcentral lists this ribosomal RNA (483 nucleotides) under uncultured bacterium. Its description in RNAcentral is "partial 16S ribosomal RNA". It matches the Rfam family "Bacterial small subunit ribosomal RNA", at positions 28 to 507 of the family's 1533-position model. The record is from RNAcentral.